GAUGAACGCUGGCGGCGUGCCUAAUACAUGCAAGUCGAGCGAACAGACGAGGAGCUUGCUCCUCUGACGUUAGCGGCGGACGGGUGAGUAACACGUGGAUAACCUACCUAUAAGACUGGGAUAACUUCGGGAAACCGGAGCUAAUACCGGAUAAUAUAUUGAACCGCAUGGUUCAAUAGUGAAAGACGGUUUUGCUGUCACUUAUAGAUGGAUCCGCGCCGCAUUAGCUAGUUGGUAAGGUAACGGCUUACCAAGGCAACGAUGCGUAGCCGACCUGAGAGGGUGAUCGGCCACACUGGAACUGAGACACGGUCCAGACUCCUACGGGAGGCAGCAGUAGGGAAUCUUCUGCAAAGGGCGAAAGCCUGACGGAGCAACGCCGCGUGAGUGAUGAAGGUCUUCGGAUCGUAAAACUCUGUUAUUAGGGAAGAACAAAUGUGUAAGUAACUAUGCACGUCUUGACGGUACCUAAUCAGAAAGCCACGGCUAACUACGUG
Molecule: ribosomal RNA, 497 nt
Filed under: uncultured bacterium
Lineage: Bacteria
Description: partial 16S ribosomal RNA
Rfam family: Bacterial small subunit ribosomal RNA
Source: RNAcentral